Molecule: ribosomal RNA, 387 nt
Filed under: uncultured bacterium SA18
Lineage: Bacteria
Description: partial 16S ribosomal RNA
Source: RNAcentral
GCAGGUUCCCCUACGGCUACCUUGUUACGACUUCACCCCAGUCACGAACCCCGCCGUGGUAAGCGCCCCCNUUGCGGUUAGGCUACCUACUUCUGGCGGAACCCGCUCCCAUGGUGUGACGGGCGGUGUGUACAAGACCCGGGAACGUAUUCACCGCAGCAUGCUGAUCUGCGAUUACUAGCGAUUCCGACUUCACGCAGGCGAGUUGCAGCCUACGAUCCGGACUACGAUCGGCUUUCUGGGAUUGGCUCCACCUCGCGGCUUGGCAACCCUCUGUACCGACCAUUGUAUGACGUGUGAAGCCCUACCCAUAAGGGCCAUGAGGACUUGACGUCAUCCCCACCUUCCUCCGGUUUGUCACCGGCAGUCUCGUUAAAGUGCCCAACU